AGGGCAUACUCGUGAGGGCAUUUUGUGAAGUUAUUUUCUAGAAAAUACUUGUCAAUUCUACUAUUCCAUGCCCUUGGAGCCUGUUUCAACCCAUAUAAAGCAUUUUUUAGUUUCAAGACUUUACCUUCAUGUCCUUUUACUUUAUAGCCCAUUGGUUGCUCCACAUAGAUUUCUUCUUCGAGAUAACCAUUUAGAAAAGCUGAUUUCACGUCCAUUUGAAAUAUCUUCCACUUAUUUUGUGCUGCGAGAGAGAUAAUUAAUCUUAUGAUUUCUAAACGAGCAACAGGAGCAAAUACCUCUUCAUAAUCAAUUCCCGACCGUUGGUUGUAACCUUUGGCAACCAAUCUUGCUUUGUAUCUUUUUACGUCUCCUUUAGCGUUCUUCUUUGCCUUGUACACCCACUUAACUCCGAUUGCUCUCUUUCCUUUGGGAAGAGUUGUCAGCUCCCACGUGUCAUUUUUCUCUAUAGCCUUAAUCUCUUCAUCCAUAGCAUCUCUCCAUCUUUUAUUUUGCACCG
Molecule: long non-coding RNA, 517 nt
Filed under: Olea europaea subsp. europaea
Lineage: Eukaryota; Viridiplantae; Streptophyta; Magnoliopsida; Lamiales; Oleaceae
Source: RNAcentral